AUCCUGACGGUGCUGGAAGGCUCGCUCUAUGUUGGUUUUGUCACCUCCAACCCCGAGAACAAGUUGUUCUCGAAAGUUCUGAACAAAGGAGACGUGUUUGUGUUUCCGCAAGGUCUUAUUCACUUUCAGUUCAACAUUGGAGCCAACAAAGCGAUAGCCAUUGCGGCGCUGAGCAGCAAGAACCCUGGAGUAAUCACCAUAGCCAAUGCAGCGUUUGGAUCCAAGCCAUCCAUCUCAGAUGAUAUCCUUGCCAAAGCAUUCCAGGUGGACAAGAAAAUUGUAGGCCGUAUCCAAGCUCAAUUCUAG
This 306-nucleotide ribosomal RNA is filed under the name Triticum aestivum (bread wheat). RNAcentral's name for it is "partial small subunit ribosomal RNA". Lineage: Eukaryota; Viridiplantae; Streptophyta; Magnoliopsida; Poales; Poaceae. The record is from RNAcentral.